RNAcentral lists this ribosomal RNA (488 nucleotides) under uncultured bacterium. RNAcentral describes it as "bacterial SSU rRNA". It matches the Rfam family "Bacterial small subunit ribosomal RNA", at positions 30 to 507 of the family's 1533-position model. The record is from RNAcentral.
AUUGAACGCUGGCGGAAUGCUUUACACAUGCAAGUCGAACGGCAGCACGGGAGCUUGCUCCUGGUGGCGAGUGGCGAACGGGUGAGUAAUGCAUCGGAACGUGCCCAUUUGUGGGGGAUAACUAGUCGAAAGACUAGCUAAUACCGCAUAAGCUCGAGAGAGGAAAGCGGGGGAUCCNNAAAGACCUCGCGCAGAUGGAGCGGCCGAUGUCCGAUUAGCUUGUUGGUGAGGUAAAGGCUCACCAAGGCGACGAUCGGUAGCUGGUCUGAGAGGACGACCAGCCACACUGGGACUGAGACACGGCCCAGACUCCUACGGGAGGCAGCAGUGGGGAAUUUUGGACAAUGGGGGCAACCCUGAUCCAGCCAUUCCGCGUGUGGGAAGAAGGCCUUCGGGUUGUAAACCACUUUCGGACGGGAAGAAAUCGACGUGACAAAUAAUCGUGUCGGAUGACGGUACCGUAAGAAGACUCACCGGCUAACUACGUG